This is a long non-coding RNA of Oncorhynchus keta (chum salmon), 380 nucleotides long. RefSeq lists it as uncharacterized. The record is from RefSeq and is a predicted model, not a curated record. Lineage: Eukaryota; Metazoa; Chordata; Actinopteri; Salmoniformes; Salmonidae. The transcript is spliced from 3 exons.
CAGAGAGCUGGUAGUCCCAUCCACCACACUACCAGGUGGGUGGUAUAGAGGAGACGGACGCACUGGUUGUCCUCUAGGUUACAGAGAGCUGGUAGUCCCAUCCACCACACUACCAGGUGGGUGGUAUAGAGGAGACGGACCCACUGGUUGUCCUCUAGGUUACAGAGAGCUGGUAGUCCCAUCCACCACACUACCAGGUGGGUGGUAUAGAGGAGAUGGACCCACUGGUUGCCCUCUAGGUUACAGAGAGCUGGUAGUCCCAUCCACCACACUACCAGGUGGGUGGUAUAGAGGAGACGGACCCACUGGUUGUCCUCUAGGUUACAGAGAGCUGGUAGUCCCAUCCACCACACUACCAGGUGGGUGGUAUAGAGGAGACG